RNAcentral lists this ribosomal RNA (253 nucleotides) under uncultured bacterium. RNAcentral's name for it is "partial 16S ribosomal RNA". It matches the Rfam family "Bacterial small subunit ribosomal RNA", at positions 524 to 776 of the family's 1533-position model. The record is from RNAcentral.
GACGGAGGGUGCAAGCGUUGUUCGGAAUCACUGGGCGUAAAGCGCGUGUAGGCGGUUGAAUAAGUCGGAUGUGAAAGCCCGGAGCUUAACUCCGGAAGUGCAUUCGAAACUGCUCGGCUCGAGUACGGGAGAGGGAAGUGGAAUUCCUGGUGUAGAGGUGAAAUUCGUAGAUAUCAGGAGGAAAACCGGUGGCGAAGGCGGCUUCCUGGACCGAUACUGACGCUGAGACGCGACAGCGUGGGGAGCAAACAGG